Molecule: ribosomal RNA, 587 nt
Filed under: uncultured fungus
Lineage: Eukaryota; Fungi
Description: eukaryotic LSU rRNA
Rfam family: 5.8S ribosomal RNA (bases 228-381)
Source: RNAcentral
CUUGGUCAUUUAGAGGAAGUAAAAGUCGUAACAAGGUUUCCGUAGGUGAACCUGCGGAAGGAYCAUUACAGAGAACUUGCCCUUCUAGGGUAUAUCUCCACCCUUUGUUUACAAUACCCCUGUUGCUUUGGCAAGCCCGUCUCAUGACCACCGGCCUCAGCUGGUCUGUGCUUGCCAGAGGCCCCAAAACUCUUAUUUAUGAUGUCUGAGUCUUAUGCAAUAGUUAAAACUUUCAACAACGGAUCUCUUGGUUCUGGCAUCGAUGAAGAACGCAGCGAAAUGCGAUAAGUAAUGUGAAUUGCAGAAUYCAGUGAAUCAUCGAAUCUUUGAACGCACAUUGCACCCUCUGGUAUUCCGGGGGGUAUGCCUGUUCGAGCGUCAUUUCAACCCUCAAGCCCUGCUUGGUAUUGGAUGCCAUCACUUGUGGUGCAUCUCAAAAGCAUUGGCGGUAGCAUUUAGCUUCUAGUGCAGUAAUUUUCUCGCUUGGAGUCUAGAGGUCUGCCUGCUAGAACAAUUAARUUUAUCAAGGUUGRCCUCGGAUCAGGUAGGGAUACCCGCUGAACUUAAGCAUAUCAAUAAGCGGAGGA